Molecule: ribosomal RNA, 261 nt
Filed under: uncultured archaeon
Lineage: Archaea
Description: partial 16S ribosomal RNA
Rfam family: Archaeal small subunit ribosomal RNA
Source: RNAcentral
UAGCCGUAAACGAUACUCGCUAGGUGUCGGCCACGGUGCGACCGUUGUCGGUGCCGUAGGGAAGCCGUGAAGCGAGCCACCUGGGAAGUACGGCCGCAAGGCUGAAACUUAAAGGAAUUGGCGGGGGAGCACAACAACGGGUGGAGCUUGCGGUUUAAUUGGAUUCAACGCCGGAAAUCUUACCGGGACCGACAGCAACAUGAAGGCCAGGCUGAAGACUUUGCCGGAUUAGCUGAGAGGUGGUGCAUGGCGUCAGUGACU